RNAcentral lists this ribosomal RNA (462 nucleotides) under uncultured bacterium. RNAcentral's name for it is "partial 16S ribosomal RNA". It matches the Rfam family "Bacterial small subunit ribosomal RNA", at positions 28 to 507 of the family's 1533-position model. The record is from RNAcentral.
GACGAACGCUGGCGGCGUGCUUAACACAUGCAAGUCGAACGGAAAGGCCCUUCGGGGUACUCGAGUGGCGAACGGGUGAGUAACACGUGGGUGAUCUGCCCUGCACUUUGGGAUAAGCCUGGGACACUGGGUCUAAUACCGAAUAGGACCACGCGCUUCAUGGUGUGUGGUGGAAAGCUUUUGCGGUGUGGGAUGGGCCCGCGGCCUAUCAGCUUGUUGGUGGGGUAAUGGCCUACCAAGGCGACGACGGGUAGCCGGCCUGAGAGGGUGACCGGCCACACUGGGACUGAGAUACGGCCCAGACGCCUACGGGAGGCAGCAGUGGGGAAUAUUGCACAAUGGGCGCAAGCCUGAUGCAGCGACGCCGCGUGAGGGAUGACGGCCUUCGGGUUGUAAACCACUGUCAAUAGGGACGAAGCGCAAGUGACGGUACCUAUAGAAGAAGCACCGGCCAACUACGUG